This is a long non-coding RNA of Branchiostoma floridae (Florida lancelet), 1698 nucleotides long. RefSeq lists it as uncharacterized. The record is from RefSeq and is a predicted model, not a curated record. The transcript is spliced from 4 exons. NCBI's taxonomy places the organism in Eukaryota, Metazoa, Chordata, Leptocardii, Amphioxiformes, Branchiostomatidae.
GAUGCUGGCAGCAUCGCUGUGUCCGAUAUCAACGAGUGUAAUCUGAACACCACCAGCUGUGCAGAUGUCGCCACCUGUAACAACACCGAGGGCGCGUACUUCUGCACCUGCCCUGCGGGAUGGACCGACGUGUCUCCUGCAGAGAGCAUCUCCGGAUCAUUUUGCCAACGAAACACACCUGUCCACGUCAGUGAGGGUCCUUCUCUUUUCGUCAUCCUGACUGCAGUGUUUGCAGGCAUCGGCUUCAUACCUGCUGUCAUACUUAUCAUCUGGCUAGUUAAAAAUAAGAAAUCAUCUGUUGGCAUCGCGGGGGAAACAAAGGUUACAGUACCUGAUGACGUAGAAGCGCCCGGGCCCCCUCCGUCCCGCCAGUUCCUGGUAGAAACUGCGCCUCCUGCCGAACCCACCUCAGUUGAGCUACCCGGAACACCUGACAGCAGUCACGCGUAAAAUAGACUUUUACCAACAACAAAGUAUAUAAGAUUGUCAUCUCAUUAAAGAGCAUCAUGCACUAGUAAACAACACCAACAUCGAAACUCAUACUUCAGACAAAGCUGAACUAUGCAUAAUUUUUCCAGGACUCAGCCACCUUUUGACCAACAAUUUUGAAAAAAUUCCAAUCUGGAACGGUCAUUUUUUCCAAAUUUGCUUUUCAUUGACUACUUGGACAUACGAUUGUGUCUUGACAGACCACGCUAGUAGGGACUACAUGGAGGUAUGGGGCCGGACGCCGAAGCAUGAUGACAGAUUUUCACCGAACUCAUACUUUAUACUAUCCCAGUGCUGACCUGUUUAAAGUACGACACUAGGCAAAAAGAUGAUGUGCGCGGCUACUACAUGUAGGUUUUUUCAUACUCCAUGGAAACCGAAUGCUGUUGGUUUGAAAUUUUGUGAUUUCUCUUUCUGUGAUCUUGACAGACCACGCUACUAGGGACUACAUAUAGCCAUCAAGCCGAAUGUCGAGGCCCAAUGACCUCUUUUUAUCGAGUUCACACCUUAUAAUUACAGUUGUAUUAAUACACGCCCCCUUUCGAGUCUGUAGCGAACUGUUUAAAGUUGUGAUACUAGAGGAAAAGAAUGACGUGUCCGGCUACUAGGUUUAUUGGUUAUGCUCUAUGGAAACCGAAUGCUGUUGGUUUGAAAUUUUGUGAUUUCUCUUGCUGUGAUCCUGACAGACCACGCUACUAGGGACUACAUAGAGUCUUUCGGCCAAAUGUCGAGGCCCGAUGACUUCUUUUGAUCGAAUUCACACCUUAUAUCAUAUAUGUGAAUAUACGCCCCCUGUCGACUCCGUAGCGAACUGUUUAAAGGUGUGAUACUAGAGAAAAAGGACGACGUGUCCGGCUACUAGGUUGGUUAUGCUUUAUGGAAACCGAAUGCUGUAGGUCGAUAUUUGAUGUUGAUAUAUUUCAUGAUUUCUCUUGCUGUGAUCCUGACAGACCACGCUACUAGGGACUACAUAGAGCCUUUAGGCCGAAUGUCGAGCACGAUGACUUCUUUUUAUCGAAUUCACACCUUGUACAUGUACUUACAUUUGUAUGAAUACAUGCCUCCUGUCAGCUCUGUAGCGAACUGUUUUGAGGUGUGAUACUAGAGGAAAGGGAUGACGUGCGCGACUACUAGGUUGUAUAUACUCUAUGGAAACCGAAUGCUGUUGGUUUAUGAACGCAGAGCAAGUUGUUCAAAUAUACAUUUUUU